RNAcentral lists this ribosomal RNA (253 nucleotides) under uncultured bacterium. RNAcentral's name for it is "partial 16S ribosomal RNA". It matches the Rfam family "Bacterial small subunit ribosomal RNA", at positions 524 to 776 of the family's 1533-position model. The record is from RNAcentral.
UACGGAGGGGGCUAGCGUUGUUCGGAAUUACUGGGCGUAAAGCGCACGUAGGCGGCUUUGUAAGUUAGAGGUGAAAGCCCAGAGCUCAACUCUGGAAUUGCCUUUAAGACUGCAUCGCUAGAAUUGUGGAGAGGUGAGUGGAAUUCCGAGUGUAGAGGUGAAAUUCGUAGAUAUUCGGAAGAACACCAGUGGCGAAGGCGGCUCACUGGACACAUAUUGACGCUGAGGUGCGAAAGCGUGGGGAGCAAACAGG